AGGGCCUCUGGAACUCGAUCAUGACAGCAUCUGUCUGUGUCUGCUCCCACCAGAUGGAUGAGCUGGGAGGUAAGGCAUGUGGCUUCCUCCUGGCAAUGUCUGUCUGUGAAUGUGACCCUGCAGCUGUCUGCCCACCUCCCCCAUACUUCAUCUCUCUAGAAGGAGUUUCCAGCGGUAACCUGACCUCACGGCGAUUCCUUCUGCUGAGUGCGAAGAAGGCUGUCACGGAGGAAGAGUGAAGGUGGAGCAUGCGCAGCACUGACUUCUGCAUAACCGAGGAUGCUCGUGUUCUGCUAACGUUGGCAGCGGCUGCACUCAGUACAGAGCAUCUUAAGGAGGUGCUAGGAAUCUGCCUGUCAUCAUCAUCUUCCUCACCAUCGUGGUCUGUACCCCAUCAAUAACCUUUUGAUUAGUAACUAUUAACAAACUCCCAAAUAAGUGCUAUUUUUCUUUAGGUUGAUUACAGCAGUGAGGAAAUUAGCUGCUAAAACAGAAGAGUGAUAGAGGGUUGCCUCUGUGGUCACCCUUACAUGCAGUUCUUGGGCUGUUGGAACUGUGGGAAAGGUUGGAGAUGUGAGCAGAAGAGCCUGAGCCUUCUCAGGGAGCACAGCUUUGUGGGCAUUGGCCUGUACAGGUGACCCGUCUACACCGUCCUGUACUGGUGAUCUGUCUACACUGUCCUGCACAGGUGACCCAUCUACCCCGUCCUAUCCUGGCGACCCAUCUACACUGUCCUGUCCUGGUGACCCAUCUACACUGUCAUGUACUGGUGACCCAUCUACGCUGUCCUGUACUGGUGACCUGUCUACACCGUCCUGUACUGGUGACCUGCCUACACCAUCCUGUACUGCUGACCCGUCUACACCGUCCUGUACUGGUGACCCAUCUACACCGUCCUGUACUGGUGAUUUGUCUACACUGUCCUGCACAGGUGACCCAUCUACCCCGUCCUAUCCUGGCGACCCAUCUACACUGUCCUGUCCUGGUGACCCGUCUACACUGUCCUGUUCUGGUGACCCGUCUACACCGUCCUGUACUGGUGAUCUGCCUACACUGUCCUGCACAGGUGACCCAUCUACACUGUCCUGCACUGGUGACCCAUCUACACUGUCCUGUACUGGUGACCCGUCUACACUGUCCUGCACUGGUGACCCAUCUACACUGUCCUGUACUGGUGACCCAUCUACACUGUCCUGCACUGGUGACCCAUCUACACUGUCCUGCACAGGUGACCCGUCUACACUGUAUUGUGGCAGGCUCCAUCAUUAUGCUUAACUACAGUUUAUUUAUACCUUCUGGUUCUAGACAACUUCUCAUUUUCAUAUAACAAUGAAAAAUUCAUUAGAUCUAGAGCCUCCACACUCAAUAACAUUACCAACAUUGUUCAAGAGUCCAAAGUCUCUUUUGAGACUUAAGAUAAGCUCUUCUAUCAAUCAAAAGAUAACUUACAUACUUUUGGGGCUAGAAGGCUACAGAGUAAGGAUUCCCAUUUAACACCUCCAUCCUAAAAGGGAGGCAUGGGGGAAUAAAAGGAGAAUAGAGACAAAGCAAGAUCCAAACCCAGAAGGGCAGGUGGCUCAAGAUGGAAUCCAAUAGCUUUGGGUAGCCUUGCCCUGAAGUAAACAUGGCCCUGCUCCACACUAUGCCUGCAUCUGUCCUCAGUGGAUGUUGCACGGUCUGCCAUCUUCGAUGUUUUGAAGUCUCCACUGCGUGCUGGUGUUUGGCUUCCCAGCUCCACGAGGUCACCUUUCAGGGCUUCCUUGCAUGAGAUAAGACAUGCAGUUUUCUAGAACCUUGGUGUCAGCCUUCACAACGGUAUCACUCUUGCUUGGUUCACAUCUACCAAGCUAGUGCCAUGUAGAUGGUACUCUUACAUUCUGUCACCAUCAGUAUGAGGUGUGGCCUGGCCUCCUUGCACUGUAGACACAGUGGCCUCUGUGAGCUUCCGAGGAGGCUCAGUCUGAGAAAUGCUUGCCUAGGCAGCUGCUUACCAUCAUGAGACCCUUUCAGUGGCAUUCUCAGCUUAAGUUCUCUCCUUUAAAAGGAAUUUAUGUCUUCAAAAGCUUUCAUGGGUAUGGUCUUGCCCCCCAGGGUACCUUUCUUAUGGCCCAGCUUGGAUGUAAUCUCUUUACCAGUUAUAGCUGCUCUCAUAGCUUGUCUGCAUCUUAAAGCUCACUGUUCCUGUUUUAUUUCUGUUGCUAUGAGACAAAAAUAACUUGGAGAAGAAGAGGAGAUGCAGUCCAUUAUGGCUGGGACAAUGUGGUAGCGGAUGGGUGAGAAUGUCAGCCAUAUUGGAUCUGCACUCAGGAAAUAAGAAGUGAUGAAUGUUGGGACUCUGCCCACCAUGGUCUCUUUCUCCAGUCUGGGAACCCACCCCAUUGGAUGGUGCACCCACACUUAGAGUGGGACUUCACUACCCAGUUAAAACUUUCUGGAAAUGCCCCCCAGAGAUGACAUAUCUAGAGCUUUAUUUCUUAGAUGGUUCUAAUUACAGUCAAAUUGACAAUAAAGGUUAUCUACCACAACAUGGU
This 2531-nucleotide long non-coding RNA is filed under the name Mus musculus (house mouse). Its description in RNAcentral is "RIKEN cDNA D130052B06 gene". The record is from RNAcentral. Lineage: Eukaryota; Metazoa; Chordata; Mammalia; Rodentia; Muridae.